GACGAACGCUGGCGGCGUGCUUAACACAUGCAAGUCGAGCGCUGAAGCUCAGCUUUUGUUGGGUGGAUGAGUGGCGAACGGGUGAGUAACACGUGAGUAACCUGCCCCCUUCUUUGGGAUAACGCCCGGAAACGGGUGCUAAUACUGGAUAUUCACUGGUCUUCGCAUGGGGGUUGGUGGAAAGGGUUUUUCUGGUGGGGGAUGGGCUCGCGGCCUAUCAGCUUGUUGGUGGGGUGAUGGCCUACCAAGGCUUUGACGGGUAGCCGGCCUGAGAGGGUGACCGGUCACAUUGGGACUGAGAUACGGCCCAGACUCCUACGGGAGGCAGCAGUGGGGAAUAUUGCACAAUGGGCGCAAGCCUGAUGCAGCGACGCCGCGUGAGGGAUGGAGGCCUUCGGGUUGUGAACCUCUUUCGCUCAUGGUCAAGCCGCAACAAUGGUUGUGGUGAGGGUAGUGGGUAAAGAAGCGCCGGCUAACUACGUG
This 483-nucleotide ribosomal RNA is filed under the name uncultured bacterium. RNAcentral's name for it is "partial 16S ribosomal RNA". It matches the Rfam family "Bacterial small subunit ribosomal RNA", at positions 28 to 507 of the family's 1533-position model. The record is from RNAcentral.